ACAAUGGAAGAAGAGAUCACUGCGCUUGCCAUUGACAAUGGCUCCAGCAUGGCAAAGCUGGCUUUGCUGGGGACGAUGCCCCCCAAGUCAUAUUUCCCUCCAUUGUCAGGCACUCCCAGCACCAGGGCAUGAUGGUGGGCAUGGGCCAGAAGGACUCCUAUGUGGGCGACAAGGCCCAGAGCAAGCGUGGCAUCCUGACCCUGAAGUACCCCAUUGAGCAUGGCAUCGUCACCAACUGGGAUGACAUGGAGAAGAUCUGGGACCACACCUUCUGCAAUGAGCUGCACGUGGCCCUGGAGGAGCACCCAGUGCUGCUGACUGAGACCCCCCCGAACCCCAAACCAACAGAGAGAAGAUGACUCAGAUCAUGUUUGAGAUCUUCAACACCCCAGCCAUGUACUUGGCCAUCCAGGUCAUGGUGUCCCUCUACACCUCUGGGGACAUUACUGGUAUUGUCAUGGACUCUGGAGACAGGAUCACCCACAUGGUGCCCAUCUACAUGGUCUGCGCCCUCCCACACACCAUCCUGCGUCUGGAUCUGGCUGACUGGGACCUGACCGACUACCUCAUGAAGAUCCUCACCAAGUGUGGCUACAACUUCACCACCUCGGCCCAGCAGGAGAUCAUGUGCCACAUCAGAGAGAAGCUGUGCUACGUCACUUCUGGACUUCAAGGAGAGGGCCACUGCCGCAUCCUCCUCCUCCCUGGAGAAGAGCUGGAGCUGCCCAAUGGCCAGGUCAUCACCAUCGGCAGUAAGCGGUCCUGGUGCCACUAA
RNA transcript from Piliocolobus tephrosceles (Ugandan red Colobus), 775 nucleotides. It is a transcript of the gene named actin-1-like, with no coding region annotated. The record is from RefSeq and is a predicted model, not a curated record. NCBI's taxonomy places the organism in Eukaryota, Metazoa, Chordata, Mammalia, Primates, Cercopithecidae. The transcript has a single exon.